GGGUUGUGAGGUUAAGCGACUAAGCGUACACGGUGGAUGCCCUGGCAGUCAGAGGCGAUGAAGGACGUGCUAAUCUGCGAUAAGCGUCGGUAAGGUGAUAUGAACCGUUAUAACCGGCGAUUUCCGAAUGGGGAAACCCAGUGUGUUUCGACACACUAUCAUUAACUGAAUCCAUAGGUUAAUGAGGCGAACCGGGGGAACUGAAACAUCUAAGUACCCCGAGGAAAAGAAAUCAACCGAGAUUCUCCCAGUAGCGGCGAGCGAACGGGGAGCAGCCCAGAGCCUGAAUCAGUGUGUGUGUUAGUGGAAGCGUCUGGAAAGGCGCGCGAUACAGGGUGACAGCCCCGUACACAAAAAUGCACAUGCUGUGAGCUCGAUGAGUAGGGCGGGACACGUGGUAUCCUGUCUGAAUAUGGGGGGACCAUCCUCCAAGGCUAAAUACUCCUGACUGACCGAUAGUGAACCAGUACCGUGAGGGAAAGGCGAAAAGAACCCCGGCGAGGGGAGUGAAAAAGAACCUGAAACCGUGUACGUACAAGCAGUGGGAGCACGCUUAGGCGUGUGACUGCGUACCUUUUGUAUAAUGGGUCAGCGACUUAUAUUCUGUAGCAAGGUUAACCGAAUAGGGGAGCCGAAGGGAAACCGAGUCUUAACUGGGCGUUAAGUUGCAGGGUAUAGACCCGAAACCCGGUGAUCUAGCCAUGGGCAGGUUGAAGGUUGGGUAACACUAACUGGAGGACCGAACCGACUAAUGUUGAAAAAUUAGCGGAUGACUUGUGGCUGGGGGUGAAAGGCCAAUCAAACCGGGAGAUAGCUGGUUCUCCCCGAAAGCUAUUUAGGUAGCGCCUCGUGAAUUCAUCUCCGGGGGUAGAGCACUGUUUCGGCAAGGGGGUCAUCCCGACUUACCAACCCGAUGCAAACUGCGAAUACCGGAGAAUGUUAUCACGGGAGACACACGGCGGGUGCUAACGUCCGUCGUGAAGAGGGAAACAACCCAGACCGCCAGCUAAGGUCCCAAAGUCAUGGUUAAGUGGGAAACGAUGUGGGAAGGCCCAGACAGCCAGGAUGUUGGCUUAGAAGCAGCCAUCAUUUAAAGAAAGCGUAAUAGCUCACUGGUCGAGUCGGCCUGCGCGGAAGAUGUAACGGGGCUAAACCAUGCACCGAAGCUGCGGCAGCGACACUAUGUGUUGUUGGGUAGGGGAGCGUUCUGUAAGCCUGUGAAGGUGUGCUGUGAGGCAUGCUGGAGGUAUCAGAAGUGCGAAUGCUGACAUAAGUAACGAUAAAGCGGGUGAAAAGCCCGCUCGCCGGAAGACCAAGGGUUCCUGUCCAACGUUAAUCGGGGCAGGGUGAGUCGACCCCUAAGGCGAGGCCGAAAGGCGUAGUCGAUGGGAAACAGGUUAAUAUUCCUGUACUUGGUGUUACUGCGAAGGGGGGACGGAGAAGGCUAUGUUGGCCGGGCGACGGUUGUCCCGGUUUAAGCGUGUAGGCUGGUUUUCCAGGCAAAUCCGGAAAAUCAAGGCUGAGGCGUGAUGACGAGGCACUACGGUGCUGAAGCAACAAAUGCCCUGCUUCCAGGAAAAGCCUCUAAGCAUCAGGUAACAUCAAAUCGUACCCCAAACCGACACAGGUGGUCAGGUAGAGAAUACCAAGGCGCUUGAGAGAACUCGGGUGAAGGAACUAGGCAAAAUGGUGCCGUAACUUCGGGAGAAGGCACGCUGAUAUGUAGGUGAAGUCCCUCGCGGAUGGAGCUGAAAUCAGUCGAAGAUACCAGCUGGCUGCAACUGUUUAUUAAAAACACAGCACUGUGCAAACACGAAAGUGGACGUAUACGGUGUGACGCCUGCCCGGUGCCGGAAGGUUAAUUGAUGGGGUUAGCCGCAAGGCGAAGCUCUUGAUCGAAGCCCCGGUAAACGGCGGCCGUAACUAUAACGGUCCUAAGGUAGCGAAAUUCCUUGUCGGGUAAGUUCCGACCUGCACGAAUGGCGUAAUGAUGGCCAGGCUGUCUCCACCCGAGACUCAGUGAAAUUGAACUCGCUGUGAAGAUGCAGUGUACCCGCGGCAAGACGGAAAGACCCCGUGAACCUUUACUAUAGCUUGACACUGAACAUUGAGCCUUGAUGUGUAGGAUAGGUGGGAGGCUUUGAAGUGUGGACGCCAGUCUGCAUGGAGCCGACCUUGAAAUACCACCCUUUAAUGUUUGAUGUUCUAACGUUGACCCGUAAUCCGGGUUGCGGACAGUGUCUGGUGGGUAGUUUGACUGGGGCGGUCUCCUCCUAAAGAGUAACGGAGGAGCACGAAGGUUGGCUAAUCCUGGUCGGACAUCAGGAGGUUAGUGCAAUGGCAUAAGCCAGCUUGACUGCGAGCGUGACGGCGCGAGCAGGUGCGAAAGCAGGUCAUAGUGAUCCGGUGGUUCUGAAUGGAAGGGCCAUCGCUCAACGGAUAAAAGGUACUCCGGGGAUAACAGGCUGAUACCGCCCAAGAGUUCAUAUCGACGGCGGUGUUUGGCACCUCGAUGUCGGCUCAUCACAUCCUGGGGCUGAAGUAGGUCCCAAGGGUAUGGCUGUUCGCCAUUUAAAGUGGUACGCGAGCUGGGUUUAGAACGUCGUGAGACAGUUCGGUCCCUAUCUGCCGUGGGCGCUGGAGAACUGAGGGGGGCUGCUCCUAGUACGAGAGGACCGGAGUGGACGCAUCACUGGUGUUCGGGUUGUCAUGCCAAUGGCACUGCCCGGUAGCUAAAUGCGGAAGAGAUAAGUGCUGAAAGCAUCUAAGCACGAAACUUGCCCCGAGAUGAGUUCUCCCUGACUCCUUGAGAGUCCUGAAGGAACGUUGAAGACGACGACGUUGAUAGGCCGGGUGUGUAAGCGCAGCGAUGCGUUGAGCUAACCGGUACUAAUGAACCGUGAGGCUUAACCUUACAACGCCGAAGGUGUUU
Molecule: ribosomal RNA, 2932 nt
Filed under: Escherichia coli
Lineage: Bacteria; Pseudomonadati; Pseudomonadota; Gammaproteobacteria; Enterobacterales; Enterobacteriaceae
Also listed under: 1 other name
Description: bacterial LSU rRNA
Rfam family: Bacterial large subunit ribosomal RNA
Source: RNAcentral